AUAACAUACACUGUAACAAAAGUCAGUAAAAUAUACAGCAAAACACCGUCAAAUUCCAACGGUAAUGGAGCGUAAAACCAAAAACUUCCUUUUACUGUAUUAAAUAGAUUGAAUAACCGUUAAUUGUGAGACUGGAUAAAACUUUGUUUUUUACUGUAAUAAAAUGUUGAAAUUAUAAAUAUUGUCUGUGAAAACAAAUAAAUAUGCAUACAUUUUACAAUUAAAUAUUGUAAUGUUGAAAAUGUCUGAAAAACUUAGAUUUUACGGUAUUAUUUGAGUAAAACUACAUCUUUUGGGGUUGUGCACAUUGGAAUUCACAGUAUAAAGCUGUAAAUUUUUAAGCAAACAAAAACAUUCAUUUUUACAGAAGCAAGAUGUUAAAAAAUAGGGUCCACCGUAAUAAUACAACCAGUAAAUACCAUUAAAAAAAAAAAAAAGCAAAUAUCAGCAGUGAAAGACAAUAAAAUUGAUAGUAUUUUUUUUUAUUUUAAAAUUCAGAUACUGAUAUACAGAUUAAAAGUUAGGCCUGCAGUAUAUCAUUGUUAACCUUCUGAUAAAAAAAAAUCAACAGCAAAAGAAGAUGUUAAAAAUAAAGUUCAUGGUUGUGAAUAAAAUUGAUUUCAAUAAUCUUUUUUAAUUAUUAUUUUAAAACAACUUUAUGUUGUUGUGUUUCACGCCAUAUUAUCAGACCACCUUAAGUGGGUCCGCCUUAAAUUUUGAGUUUGUGUGAUCGCUGUUGAUUGGUAGCUAAACUGCUGGUAAACUGUGUACAGACGUUUUACGUUCGAAUUGCAGAGAAAAAAAAAUUCUGGUAGCAACAUUGUGCAGUAUGAGCGAACCAUUUCACCAAAAAAAGGGGAAGCAAGGCAAGACGUGGCUGCAGCGGUCUGCAGACGUGACUUCUGAUCAAAUUCGAAUCUCCUCCUAAAGAAACAAAGAGCGACAUUACAUUGCGGGAUGACGUCACCUGAAAAUGACCAAUAGCGCGGCGCGCUGCUGAGCUGUGUGCCAACCGCUCUUUUUUUCAUGCAGGAGACUCAAGUUGGCUUCGCUAACGGACACAGUUUUGAACUCGUAUAUUAGCUCCAUUUAUUGCUGCUUGGACCACAGCAUCUUCGGAAUUUGUAGACAUCCUGGCAGCUUACAAUUAGUUCGAGGUGAGGUGAGUACAUGCAACUUCAAGUUAUCUCUGUUAUAAAAAUCCACCAGCCCAGCGUUUAUAGAUAAUUUUAGCAGUUCGUUUUUUAUGAGUGAGGUUGUGAAUUUAGUUAGCAUUUGUGAGUUGAGUUAGCAUUAGUGUCACGAGGGAAGCAUUGCUCUGGAUUAGUUUCUGUGUUUGGCGUGCUUAAUUCGCUAGGGAGGAAUUACCAAAGUACAUGGAGUUAUGUUAACCUGUAAUUUCCUUGGUAAGGUAGUUCAGUCAUCAAGGGGCUACGUGAUUUUUUUGGUCAAAACCCAUCAUGUCUCAAGCUAGUACUCUACCAGGAUGCCUUUGAAGUCGUUAACCCUUUAGGCUCUGCAAGGACAAAACACAAGGUAUUAUUUGUAUAUGCAUCAGUGGCAAACUUGCCACUUCAUGUACGCUCAGACACAGAUCACAUGUCUCUUGUCUUACUGUGCAGGGAGAAAGAUUUUAAAGAGUUUGGUCAUGCUAAUGUGUUCUCUGAAUUACUGGCAGACUUGAAAGAAUUGGAGGACAGUGGGAUUGUUGCAUCAGAUGAAACUAGAGUCAAAGGAACUUUGUUUUGCAUUGCUGGUGAUAAUCUGGGUUCUCACUGUAUUGGUGGCUUCACUGAAAACUUUAGUUCUUCAAAGUACUUCUGCAGGUACUGCCUGAUAACGAAAUCUGAAUUUCAGGGUGCUGACCCAAAUCUGUGUGGACCAGAACGUACCAAAGAGAACUACAACUCUGCUGUUGAUCGCCUCCAGAUUGACAAUACACCAGACGUCGAAGGAGUGAAGUUCAGACACUGAAUUUGAGCAGAAACCAUAAGGAUACUCAAAGGACCUGUGACUCUCAGGAAAUGCAUCAAAUGAGAGGGACAGAUGAAACAGUUUCAAGACAAUGGCAGGAAAAACAUGCUGAAGAUUGAAACAAACCUUGGCUGGAAAUAUUUGAAGGUAUCUAGCCAGUCCACAAUGAAAGCUUCGUUGCACCCCAUGAGUCUUCUGGCAGAAAUGAUGGCGCCUGUAUUCUUUGGUUUCCCUAAACAUCACACCCUGCCUGUUUAUACGAGGCUCUUCAAUUAAGUCUGCACCCAAAGAUUCAAUAAGAGAGGGGAUCCUGCCAGUCCAAAGUGAACUCCUGAUGGACAUUGAAGUACUCCUGCAGAGCUUGUAUCUUCGACACCAUGCGCAUUAGAAACUCCACUGAGUCCUUUCCUUCACCAAGGCAGGACCCAGUGACUCAUUACUGUUGAUAGGUCAGGGCCAGGUAAUAUUUUGUUUCAUAUUUAUUCAUUCCUCUAUGGAUUACCAGCCAUAUAUAUGGACACAUGCUGUAUUCUCAAGAUCUAUGCUGUUUUGUAGGAAUAGAGAAAAUGAUAUGUUUAGUCUGUUUUCAAAUAGUAUGUCAAAUUUUCUCAUUGUUUAUCAGUAAUAUUCACUACCUUGGCUAUAUAUGAGCAUCUUUAGGUUUUUCUAUAUUUAGCGGUUGCAAAUGUAAAAUGUACGGUAAACCAUUUAUGUUCCUCAUAUUGUACUGUAUUUUUAGCGGUAAAAUACCGGCAGCUGUGGUAGCCAGGAAUUUACCGUAAAAUGUAUCUGGUCAAAAUAAAAUGCUGUAAUUUGUUAUACAAUUUCACUGUGUUUUUUACUGUCAAAGGUUUUAAUAAGGUUUAACAUAUUUCUGUUAUUUUUACAGUUAUUUACAAUAAUAGGGUCUAUCCUAUUACUGUUAAAUUAACAACAAAUUACUGUAAAUAUUAUUAUAUCAUAACCUUUUUUUUACUGCAAAUAUCCGUAAAAAGCUAUGGAAAGUUGCAUUUUUUACAUUAAAUUGCUGUAUAAUUGACAAAUAUAUUUGUUUUUUUCUAUCAUGAUUUUGGUAAAAUAAUACGUUGUCUACCUUAAAAUUUAGGGUUACAAAACCAGUAUACCGUAUUGUCUUUUACAGAUUCCACAUUUUUUUCACGGUAUAUUCCUGGCUACCACAGCUGCCGGUAUUUUACCGUAAAUUUGACAGUUUUUUUUUUACAGUGUAG
Long non-coding RNA from Oreochromis niloticus (Nile tilapia), 3203 nucleotides. RefSeq lists it as uncharacterized. Lineage: Eukaryota; Metazoa; Chordata; Actinopteri; Cichliformes; Cichlidae. The transcript has 5 exons. The record is from RefSeq and is a predicted model, not a curated record.